UCCCCGAUAGCUCAAUUGGUAGAGCGAGUGGCUGUUAACCACUAGGUUGCUGGUUCGAGUCCAGCUCGGGGAG
Molecule: transfer RNA, 73 nt
Filed under: Planctomycetota bacterium
Lineage: Bacteria; Pseudomonadati; Planctomycetota
Also listed under: 1 other name
Description: tRNA-Asn
Rfam family: tRNA
About the family: Transfer RNA (tRNA) molecules are approximately 80 nucleotides in length. Their secondary structure includes four short double-helical elements and three loops (D, anti-codon, and T loops). Further hydrogen bonds mediate the characteristic L-shaped molecular structure. tRNAs have two regions of fundamental functional importance: the anti-codon, which is responsible for specific mRNA codon recognition, and the 3' end, to which the tRNAs corresponding amino acid is attached (by aminoacyl-tRNA synthetases). tRNAs cope with the degeneracy of the genetic code in two manners: having more than one tRNA (with a specific anti-codon) for a particular amino acid; and 'wobble' base-pairing, i.e. permitting non-standard base-pairing at the 3rd anti-codon position.
Source: RNAcentral